Small nucleolar RNA from Protobothrops mucrosquamatus (brown spotted pit viper), 72 nucleotides. RefSeq annotates it as small nucleolar RNA SNORD59. The transcript has a single exon. NCBI's taxonomy places the organism in Eukaryota, Metazoa, Chordata, Lepidosauria, Squamata, Viperidae. The record is from RefSeq and is a predicted model, not a curated record.
CCUUCACUGAUGAGCAAAACUCUAGACUUUCGUUCUUCUGAGAUUGCUGAAGCAAUUCAUCUUCUGAGAAGG